CCUUUCCAGUUGGAAAAAUAAUACUACUUUCUAUGGUAGGUAAAUAAAGAAACUAAUUGGAAAAUGUUUAGAGCCAAGUGAUAGCCAUGUGAAACUAACUAGUAUCUCUCGAUGUAAUAAUUAUAAUAGUUCCUUACCAGCUAUAAGAUGGACAUCGAUAAUUUAAGUAACCUUAGUCACGAUGAUCUUAUAGAAUCAACUCAAUUAACCCUUGGAACGCUACUUAGGACUGAUCCUCUGCUUAGUGAUCUUCCACAAGAUAUUAUUUUAGAAGAAAUUGUAUCUCAGAUUGCUGUGGAAAAUGGACAGUCAAUAACAAUAUUUAUAUCUAGAGACCCAGAACCUACUCUUAAAGUAAUUGUACCACAAAAUGCAACAGUUCGUGAUCUGAAAAAAGCAACGGCAAGACAUUUUGAACUCCAACAAAAGAGAACAGGGCUCAAAGUGAAGAUAUCUUGGAAAUACAUUUGGAAAACUUACCAUUUGGCAUAUGAUAGUUUAAUUUUAGAUAAUGAUGACCAGUGCAUUGAAGACUAUGGUGUAUGUAAUAAAGUGGUUUUAACAUUUAAAAAAAAUAAAAAAAUAAAACAAUAAGUAUAUUCCAA
RNA transcript from Bombyx mori (domestic silkworm), 605 nucleotides. RefSeq lists it as uncharacterized. The transcript has 3 exons. NCBI's taxonomy places the organism in Eukaryota, Metazoa, Arthropoda, Insecta, Lepidoptera, Bombycidae. The record is from RefSeq and is a predicted model, not a curated record.